Molecule: unclassified non-coding RNA, 179 nt
Filed under: uncultured fungus
Lineage: Eukaryota; Fungi
Description: sequence contains ITS1
Source: RNAcentral
AAAAGGUUAAGAAUACCAUGUUCUUUAAACACCAUCUGUGUAAUUGUACUCGUUGCUUCCGUGGGCAGUGGACGACCAUGUCUCUGCAUCUCUUCCUUCAUGGUGGACCCACGGGAGGUAUUCAUAAACUCUGCCGUUUGGUGAUCUUUGUCUGAUUAUGUUUGAUAAAAUAAAUGUUA